GCCCGGUUAGCUCAGUUGGUUAGAGCGUCGUGCUAAUAACGUGAUGGUCGUGGGUUCGAACCCCAUCUUGGCU
This 73-nucleotide transfer RNA is filed under the name Octopus vulgaris (common octopus). It matches the Rfam family "tRNA". Rfam says of the family: Transfer RNA (tRNA) molecules are approximately 80 nucleotides in length. The record is from Rfam by way of RNAcentral. RNAcentral also lists the same sequence under 1 other name. Lineage: Eukaryota; Metazoa; Mollusca; Cephalopoda; Octopoda; Octopodidae.